ACUUCCUCGAAUGUCUUAGUGUAGUGUUUAAUUGCAGUUACUACGGUUAGAUCGAGAUGGCUAAUCCCUAGUUUCAUAGGAAAGUAGUGAUUAAUACAGGUAUACCUUUCUAGUCACUAUAUUUUGGAGUAAUGUUACCGGAAAUCGAGUAACUACUAUUAUUUAAAACGCUUCGUAUUGUUUAAUCGAAGAUACUUUCAAUCUGUACAGUGAGGUCACUGAAGUUAGUGAUGACGUGGAGGCAUUCACGUGGUACUCCAGUGGAGUGACGCGUGUAUUUCGUACGCCAUGUUUAUCAAUUGUAUGAAAUGUUAACACAAAACUGGAAUUUACUUCACUUCGGAAAACAAAUCGUGAAAUUUCUUCUGUCAAUAAGAAUAUGGAAGGCGCGAUGCUCAUCUUUAAAGUUCCACUUAAAAUAUUGUUUAAUGACGCAUACUUACAGAAAAUGAUUUUAUUUCAAGUGUAAUUCUUCAAGCUUCUUUCAUAUAUAAACAAGUAUUUAUAGAUAAUUUAAAAGUAAUAAAAAGUACAUAUCUGUACUUAUUUAUACAGACAUUAUAAGAGUAUAGACUUGAAAAUUUAUUUAUGUUUAUCGGUGCAGGAAAAUUCAUUUAUUACGUAUUGCAUAUGAAGAUCUGCAUGCGUAGCGUUAUACUCAACUGUUGUGUGUAAGAUGUAAAUAAUUUAAGUUGAAUUACAAAAAUGGCAGUAGCAGCAUCUUCAAGUGACGUUGUUGCAGUUGUUUCUCCAGUUAAUUACAAAGAAAUUGCAAAAGCAAACAACAAAAGGAGGGAAGUUGAAAAUAUAUUAAAGGAGGUCCUAAACGG
This is a long non-coding RNA of Centruroides sculpturatus (bark scorpion), 830 nucleotides long. RefSeq lists it as uncharacterized. The record is from RefSeq and is a predicted model, not a curated record. The transcript is spliced from 4 exons. NCBI's taxonomy places the organism in Eukaryota, Metazoa, Arthropoda, Arachnida, Scorpiones, Buthidae.